UAGUUUGAGAAAAAUGAUGGUUAAUUCUUUGCGCAAGGCCAAAAGUCGGUAGGAAAUAAUAUUUAAAAAUUACCUGUUGCUAGAUGCACUUCGCCUAGGGGGCUACGUGUCGCUGUGUUUUUGGCUUUGGGUGGUUAUGGCGGACGUAGGCGAAGCACGUUGUUUCUGUGUGAUCAAUUUCCUUUUUCAGCGAAACCUUUCUUGGCUGCACAACGUAUUUUAAUCUGCGUGCAGUGCAUGACCUCGUGAUAUAUGCCCACAAAGUGGAGGUAGUUAUUACAGUGUCAAGGAGUUUGCACUUCCACGGAGGAUCGGCUGUUUAUGCCUACUGGCGAAGAAAUGAUGGACUGUUAUCCCGCCAAGGUGCCGAUGAUGAAAGAAAACAUACCCAUCAAGACAGUGGGACGUCCACAAGCAAGUGCCACAGAUUUUUUAUGCUCAUGACAUGGAUGCAGCUCUGUGGUUGCUUUCAAGAGUACGCUGCCACGAAGCCCAGCCGCAAAGGCAGAAGUUUGACUGAGUGAAUUGAUGCAAUUAAUGGCUACUUGGCUGACUUCCUAAAAAGGCUGUAAGGCAAUAAAUUUUGUCAAAUUGA
Molecule: long non-coding RNA, 595 nt
Organism: Ornithodoros turicata
Lineage: Eukaryota; Metazoa; Arthropoda; Arachnida; Ixodida; Argasidae
Exons: 3
Source: RefSeq, a predicted model, not a curated record